GGAGGGGUGGCAGAGUGGUUGAACGCGCCGCACUCGAAAUGCGGUUUAGGCUAAACCCUAACGUGGGUUCGAAUCCCACCCCCUCCGCCA
Molecule: transfer RNA, 90 nt
Filed under: Verrucomicrobiota bacterium
Lineage: Bacteria; Pseudomonadati; Verrucomicrobiota
Also listed under: 2 other names
Description: tRNA-Ser
Rfam family: tRNA
About the family: Transfer RNA (tRNA) molecules are approximately 80 nucleotides in length. Their secondary structure includes four short double-helical elements and three loops (D, anti-codon, and T loops).
Source: RNAcentral